CGUUUAGGGGUAAACCUGAGAAACCCGAAAGGUCGAAGGGAGGAAUUCAAUCGCGUUUCGUGGUAGGCGUGAAGCGGGGUAGUGACGGUGGGUUCAAUGAUCCUUUCCGCGCUUUCCGUUUUACGGUCAGACCGCGAACGCGUGCACUUUUCUCCUGGUAGGACGUCGCGAUCCGUUGGGCGUCGGUCUAAGACUCGCGGUGGAGCCCGUUCGUAGUUGUCUCACGGCAACGACGAGCUGACCCGCUUGUUCCGGCCGACUCGCUCGACGGUAUACGAAAGGUUUGGGGCCGCUCUUCGGAGCGUCCGACUCGCGGCAAGCGCGCCAGAUGUCUGUCGAAAACCGGACCUAGUGCCGAUUUCGGCCUCUGGUGACUGUUGGCCUCGAAGUUCUCGGACAGACCUCUUACAACCAAUCUGCGGCGCUAUAGUUUUGGGUACUUUCAGGACCCGUCUUGAAACACGGACCAAGGAGUCUAGCAUGUGCGCGAGUCAUUGGGAAUCACUAAACCUAAAGGCGUAAUGAAAGUAAAGGUCUUCCACGCGAAUGACCGAGGGAAGACAAGUGGUUUACCCUUAAAAGUGACCGCUUUGCACUCCCGGGGCGUUUCAUUCUCAUUGCGAGAAGAGGCGCACCAAGAGCGUACACGCUGGGACCCGAAAGAUGGUGAACUAUGCCUGGU
RNAcentral lists this ribosomal RNA (682 nucleotides) under Zygophloeus australis. RNAcentral describes it as "eukaryotic LSU rRNA". It matches the Rfam family "Eukaryotic large subunit ribosomal RNA", at positions 406 to 841 of the family's 3401-position model. The record is from RNAcentral. Lineage: Eukaryota; Metazoa; Arthropoda; Insecta; Coleoptera; Curculionidae.